UACGUAGGGUGCGAGCGUUGACCGGAAUUAUUGGGCGUAAAGAGCUCGUAGGCGGUGUGUCACGUCGUUCGUGAAAACCUGCAGCUUAACUGUGGGCGUGCGGUCGAUACGGGCAUCACUGGAGUUCGGCAGGGGAGACUGGAAUUCCUGGUGUAGCGGUGAAAUGCGCAGAUAUCAGGAGGAACACCGGUGGCGAAGGCGGCGACCUGGACGGACACUGACGCUGAGACGCGAAAGCGUGGGGAGCAAACAGG
Molecule: ribosomal RNA, 254 nt
Filed under: uncultured bacterium
Lineage: Bacteria
Description: partial 16S ribosomal RNA
Rfam family: Bacterial small subunit ribosomal RNA
Source: RNAcentral